This 587-nucleotide ribosomal RNA is filed under the name uncultured Paenibacillus sp. RNAcentral describes it as "bacterial SSU rRNA". It matches the Rfam family "Bacterial small subunit ribosomal RNA", at positions 338 to 916 of the family's 1533-position model. Lineage: Bacteria; Bacillati; Bacillota; Bacilli; Caryophanales; Paenibacillaceae. The record is from RNAcentral.
CCUACGGGAGGCAGCAGUAGGGAAUCUUCCGCAAUGGACGAAAGUCUGACGGAGCAACGCCGCGUGAGUGAUGAAGGUUUUCGGAUCGUAAAGCUCUGUUGCCAGGGAAGAACGUCUUNUGGAGUAACUGCCANGAGAGUGACGAUACCUGAGAAGAAAGCCCCGGCUUACUACGUGCCAGUAGCCGCGGUAAUACGUAGGGGGCAAGCGUUGUCCGGAAUUAUUGGGCGUAAAGCGCGCGCAGGCGGCUGUUUAAGUCUGGUGUAUAAUCGUGGGGCUCAACUCCGGGGUCGCACUGGAAACUGGACGGCUGGAGUGCAGAAGAGGAGAGUGGAAUUCCACGUGUAGCGGUGAAAUGCGUAGAGAUGUGGAGGAACACCAGUGGCGAAGGCGACUCUCUCGGCUGUAACUGACGCUGAGGCGCGAAAGCGUGGGGAGCAAACAGGAUUAGAUACCCUGGUAGUCCACGCCGUAAACGAUGAGUGCUAGGUGUUAGGGGUUUCGAUACCCUUGGUGCCGAAGUAAACACAUUAAGCACUCCGCCUGGGGAGUACGGCCGCAAGGCUGAAACUUAAAGGAAUUGACGG